CAGUAGCCACGGUAAUACGGAGGGUGCAAGCGUUAAUCGGAAUUACUGGGCGUAAAGCGCACGCAGGCGGUCUGACAAGUCAGAUGUGAAAUCCCCGGGCUUAACCUGGGAACUGCAUUUGAAACUGUCAGGCUGGAGUCUUGUAGAGGGGGGUGGAAUUCCAGGUGUAGCGGUGAAAUGCGUAGAGAUCUGGAGGAAUACCGGUGGCGAAGGCGGCCCCCUGGACAAAGACUGACGCUCAGGUGCGAAAGCGUGGGGAGCAAACAGGAUUAGAUACCCGCGUAGUCCCUGUCUCUUAUAA
RNAcentral lists this ribosomal RNA (301 nucleotides) under uncultured bacterium. Its description in RNAcentral is "partial 16S ribosomal RNA". It matches the Rfam family "Bacterial small subunit ribosomal RNA", at positions 509 to 809 of the family's 1533-position model. The record is from RNAcentral.